GUUCAUGUAAGAAAAGAAUUAUUAGAAAGACAAUUCUGUAUCAGCAAAUGAGGCCCAUAUGUGCUCUAAAUUCCUGGUAAAAUCCUUCUCUCUCCCCAUGAUUACAGAACAAUGGUCAGUGUUUGAGAUGAUAUUGAUUUCUGCAUUAGGAACCUUACUCUUGAUGCUUUCGCUACACUCCAAGGGGACAACAUUGUCGCAAUCACCAUGAAUAACACAAAAUUUCACUCCAGAUUUCAUCAAUCUGUCCAAGUUUUCAUCUAGAAAUUUUGCCCCUCCACAUAUCACAUUGUGCAUUGUAUGCCAAGCUGAAUGAUGGGUGUGCCUGGUCAAGUCCAUAAUCAUGAAAUGCAGAUCCCUGGAAAACACCAACAAGCUUCUCAAAACAUGGUUUAUUGUAAAACAAUAAAAUGGUCUGUUGUUGCAAUUGAUGAAGGCAUAAAGCUGGUGUUACCUUCUCCAGGUGAGUAGCUUCAAAAUCUUCUCCCAUAUCCUGUGGUUUCUGCAAACAAGUAAACAAACGCAUCGACCCAAGUGUUCAUACCAUGACAUGAAUGAUGAACCAAAUAUCAAUGGUGGCCACAGUCUCUUCCCAGCAAGUUUCUCAAGUGCUGUUAAACUUGCCCCUUCUUUUGAACUUGGGAUGUAAGGCUACAGUGUGUUUGGACAGGUAGAAAAAGGUCAGAACAAGCAAAUGCACGUAAGUGAACUCUAAACUACUAUCAAUUGAGCCAAAGAUCAGGAUAUGACUGUUCAAAAGUUGUUGGCUAUAUGCUUCAUGGUAAAAUUUUCACAAAAGGCUAAAAUAUUUCAAUCUAGCAUAGCAUCUAACUCUUAUGCACUCACCGGUGCUGUGAGGACGAUUGAUUUCACACAAUUUGAGUAUUUUGCAGCAAGAGCUAAUGAAAUAGUGCAGCCCAUGGAAUGCGCGACAAGAUGGAAAGACUUCAACUCAAAUGGUUUAAUCACAGAUUUUUCAAUCAUCUCCAAGUGAUCUGUUAGAGUGUAAAAACAAUCCUUUGGCUUAGGGCUUCUUCCAAAUCCCAAAAGGUCAACAGCAAAUAGUCUGUAGUUACGCUUUACAGGCUCAGAGAGAUUUGGAAACACUGUUUCUGUCCAAAAUGAAGAAGAAGAGAGGAAUCCAUGCAAGAAUAUCACAUUUUCUGCCAAAUCUCCGCAGCAAUUCUCAUUAGCAGCUAUUGAACAAGAAAUUAUAACAACAUUAGCAACCAUUCUACAUUUGAAGGCAAGACAGCUGUUGCUACCUGAAAGCUAGAAGAAUUACUAUUGGAGGAGAGCAAAUAUUGCCAAUGAAUCAUCGAUCACCCAUCAAAAAAUUAGAAUUUUUUUUUUCAAAGAUUCCAUAAUUCUUGAUCAAUAUUCUGAUUUAGUUAAGACGAAGGAAUAGAAAUUGCCGGUGCCUGGCCCUGGUGUAGGGCUCUCUAUGUAGGGAUGUUAAGAUUCAGCAAUUACCAGUUACAAGAAUUGCCAUUCCUUAGCCAAAAUAAAAUGUCCACUCUCUAAGCAUAAUUCACCAUUUAGCUAAUUGAAUUAUGAAGCUGCCCAAAACCAAACCAAGAACAAGCAGAAUAUGUCCCAACUCUAAUCUUUCAUUUCCCAGUAAACAAACAGAAUCUAAAGUUAUAAAUUGAAGGCUUUCCAAUUCCAACCACAGAAGGAAAUCCCCCAUAAUUACGAACAUAAUGCUCUUUUUUGGUUAAGAUUAACUCUCAUUUGAUUUAGGUGUCUAAAUAUCUAUCGAAUAAAGCUUUAAUUCAACAUUUGAUUUAAGUGAUGCAAGCAAGCAAAGCCUAUAAAUCAAGUAGCAAAUGACAAUAACUCAAAUAAGUGAAAAAAGAAGAAGAAGAACAGCAAAAGAAAAGUAUGAAGGGUUUACUUGUAGGAUCACCAGUCGAUGGCUCCUUGACAACUACAUGCAGAUUCUGUCCACCACCAUCCUUCAUCCAAGAAACACAAGAUUCACACCCACAAUCAGACCAAACCGUUAUUCCAUCACCACCACCAAAUGCUUUCUUGCGAUUCUCCCAUUUUCUUGCAAAACCCAGAAAUCUCAUUUGCCUAAACACGUUGUUCCUUCCAUACAAAGUUUCCGAAAGCUCACUCUCUCGAUCAUCCCCCACACUCCCCUGUAGCUCUCCCCUGUCUCCACAAUAGCAACGGUAUGCCUUCCCUUCAAAGAACUCAUCGAGAUACCUAUAAAUUAUGCAAAAAAUUACUUCAAGAAAAUCAAAAAUGAGGAAAACAAUGAAGCUAGUUGCAGAGAUGACUGUGGCAGCGGAUUUUGUCGUCCAUUUUCCUACCAAAGAAGAAGGAAACAUGGAGAAGUAAGAGAACGAGAGAAAGUUGAUUGGAAGCGAAACAUGGGGUUGAGAGUUGAUGGAAAGAAAGAUAAAUAUAGAGCCACGUCUCGUGAAGACCUUCGAACGAAAAGUAUGAUUCUCUUGGAAUUUUAUCCAAGAUGAGCGAAU
Molecule: unclassified non-coding RNA, 2489 nt
Filed under: Hevea brasiliensis (rubber tree)
Lineage: Eukaryota; Viridiplantae; Streptophyta; Magnoliopsida; Malpighiales; Euphorbiaceae
Source: RNAcentral